This 409-nucleotide long non-coding RNA is filed under the name Fukomys damarensis (Damara mole-rat). RNAcentral's name for it is "lncRNA (ENSFDAG00000033509.1)". Lineage: Eukaryota; Metazoa; Chordata; Mammalia; Rodentia; Bathyergidae. The record is from RNAcentral.
AGCAGCAGCCUUUUCCCCCUCUUCCCUGUUGGAUCACUGCCCUGUUUCCUCCAGGGCUGAAGGCCUGAGUGUGUUUUGGAGGAAUGGUGCUGGUUCUGGGUCUCUCGAGGGUCUGACUGGAAUCAGCAAAGAAAUAAAAAGGGGUUGGAUUUCCCAGGGCCUGCAGGCUUUGUCUGGAGGGAGACAGGUUGUAGGGAGACAGACAGCAGGAUGCUCCUGUCUCCUUCAUGUGAUACCAGCUUCUCAGGCACAGCUUUCUUGUGCCAAGACCAUCUGGGUCUGCAGCAGAGAAGGGCAGGAAGUCAGGCACUUACCCCUGCCCACCCCAUCUCCUCAGGCACCUUGUUUAUGGCAUUCCAGUGAAUCCUUUGUGGUAAAUGAGGCUGUGAAGAGGAUUUUUGUAGAUUAA